UCUAUUUUGGCAGAUUAGUGCAAUAGAUUUAGAAUCUGGGAAUGUAAAAAUUGUUUUACAAAUAGAA
This 67-nucleotide transfer RNA is filed under the name Flavoperla sp. YW-2019. RNAcentral's name for it is "tRNA-Leu". The record is from RNAcentral. Lineage: Eukaryota; Metazoa; Arthropoda; Insecta; Plecoptera; Perlidae.